RNAcentral lists this transfer RNA (74 nucleotides) under Candidatus Acutalibacter stercorigallinarum. Its description in RNAcentral is "tRNA-Gly". It matches the Rfam family "tRNA". Rfam says of the family: Transfer RNA (tRNA) molecules are approximately 80 nucleotides in length. The record is from RNAcentral. Lineage: Bacteria; Bacillati; Bacillota; Clostridia; Eubacteriales; Acutalibacteraceae.
GCGGAUGUAGUUCAAUGGUAGAACCCCAGCCUUCCAAGCUGGUCGUGUGGGUUCGAUUCCCAUCAUCCGCUCCA